RNAcentral lists this ribosomal RNA (3474 nucleotides) under Trichodesmium sp. St18_bin1. RNAcentral describes it as "partial 23S ribosomal RNA". The stretch from base 366 to 3474 matches the Rfam family "Eukaryotic large subunit ribosomal RNA", at positions 1 to 2956 of the family's 3401-position model. The record is from RNAcentral. Lineage: Bacteria; Bacillati; Cyanobacteriota; Cyanophyceae; Oscillatoriales; Microcoleaceae.
AACUAAGUGAAUAUAACACUCUACAGUGGAUCACUUGGCUCGGGGGUCGAUGAAGAACGCAGCUAACUGCGCGUCGGAAUGUGAACUGCAGGACAUGUGAGCAUCGACCUUUUGAACGCAUAUGGCGGAGUUAAAGUCCUUCUUUAACUCCAUGUUUUGCUCAGGGUCGUUUAACAUCCAUCCCUCUUGGGUUUCCAAGAGAGGCAUUGAGGUUUUGCAAUGCGUCCAGCAGUGCAUGCCUUUAAGUUGCAACUGCCUGUUAAACCAGAGGCUCUAGUGACUCUUGGGAUUCGUCCUGGGUUGCUUUGCUGACAGUUGGGCAGUGGUGAGUGCCAGACUAAGGCACCUACCAGCUACUUUACUUUUGACCUGAGAUAAAGCAAGAUUACCCGCCGAAUUUAAGCAUAUUAAUAAGCGGAGGAAAAGAAAACAACUGUGAUUUCCUUAGUAACGGCGAGUGAAACGGAAAUAGCCCAGCACUAAACUGCCUGUCUUUGAUAGCGCGGAAUGUAGUGUUUGGAGUGAACUCAUCUGAGGGAAGAGACGCGUUCAAGUCCCCCUGACAGGGGCCACAAUCCAUAGAGGGUGAUAGACCCGUAGUGACCGUCUCUUUGCUUGGCUGUUCUACUCUUAGAGUCGAGUUGCUUGGGAGUGCAGCUCAAAGUGCGAGGUAAACUUCUCGUAAGGCUAAAUAUGACCCCGAGACCGAUAGCGAACAAGUACAGUGAUGGAAAGUUGAAAAGAACUUUGAAGAGAGAGUUCAAUAGUACGUGAAACUGUUUAGUGGUAAACGGAGGGGUUCUCGAAGUUUGUGUUGGAGGUUCAACCUACUGGCAGAGGGUUUUGUCAAUUGAGUUCUGCAAAGUCUCUUUUGGCUUAUCACUGAAGUCACUGGGUGCAUUUCUCCAGCACUAUACGCUACGAACUGUUAGAACCGUUGCAGACACUUUAAGUGGAAGGUAACUUCGGUUGCUGGAGCUUUUUGUUGAGUAAUGGGUUUGACAGGGAUUUGAGUGGUCUCCUCAGAGUUCCUUUGAACGGGCCGCAUAUCUGUAGCGAGUAGGUCGGUGGCCCCUCCGACCCGUCUUGAAACACGGACCAAGGAGUCUAACACAUAUGCAAGUCAUUGGGUGCAAAACCCAAAGGCAUAGUGAAAGCAAAGGCUUGUUCGGCAAGCUGAGGGGUGAUACUUUGGUCGCAACCCCGGCCCAUUCAUUUAGCCUCGUCUAAGGAGUGGAGCAAGAGCAUAUUUGUUAGGACCCGAAAGAUGGUGAACUAUGCCUGGUCAGGAUGAAGUCAGGGGAAACCCUGAUGGAAGUCCGUAGAGAUUCUGACGUGCAAAUCGAUCUUCGGAACUGGGUAUAGGGGCGAAAGACUAAUCGAACCAUCUAGUAGCUGGUUCCAACCGAAGUUUCCCUCAGGAUAGCUGGUGCUUUUACGAGUUUCAUCCGGUAAAGCGAAUGAUUAGAAGUCUUGGGGAUGAAAUGUCCUCAACUUAUUCUCAAACUUUAAAUGGGUGAGAAGAUGGACUUGCUUUAUUGAAGUUCGUCUACGAAUCGGAGUGCCUAGUGGGCCAUUUUUGGUAAGCAGAACUGGCGAUGUGGGAUGAACCAAACGUUGGGUUAAAGUGCCAAAGUGGACGCUCAUCAGAUCCCAUGAAAAGUGUUAGUUGCUACAGACAGCAGGACGGUGGCCAUGGAAGUCGGAACCCGCUAAGGAGUGUGUAACAACUCACCUGCCGAAGCAACUAGCCUUGAAAAUGGAUGGCGCUAAAGCGUCCCACUUAUACCCAACCGUUGUGGCAAAGCAGACUCUUGAAGUCCUUAAGCCACAACGAGUAGGUUGGUCGCAGGGGUGGCGCAGAAGCCGACUAGGUGUGAACCUGGGUGGAGCCGCCCCUGGUGCAGAUCUUGGUGGUAGUAGCAAAUACUCCAGAGAGGCCCUGGAGGACCGAAGUGGAGAAGGGUUUCGUGUGAACAGCCGUUGGACACGAGUCAGUCGAUCCUAAGGCUUAGGGGAAGCCUUAAUCAAAUGUUUGGCGAUUUCACAGUGUGAAGAGAAACCAAAUUGCAGCCGAAAGGGAAUCCGGUUCAUAUUCCGGAACCUGGUAGCGGAACCGUUUUUGACCUUGUCAAUCGUGGCAACACGAACAGACUGAGAGACGCCCACCGAAACUCUGGGAAGAGUUUUCUUUUCUGCAUAAGCCACCGAGUCCCUGGAAUUCUUUUGAAGAGAGAAUGGGUUUUGGUUAUUGGCGAAGAAUGAAGCACUUUUUGUUUCAUCCACGAGCGGUCGGUGGGACCUUGAAAAUCUCAGUGGGGUUACGGCGCUUUCGCAUCAGCUCGUACCCAUAUCCGCAGCAGGUCUCCAAGGUUAACAGCCUCUGGUCGAUAGAAUAAUGUAGGUAAGGGAAGUCGGCAAAUUGGAUCCGUAACUUCGGGAUAAGGAUUGGCUCUGAGGGUUGGGGUAUUCGGGCUUAGUGCUGGAAGUGGAUGUGUUCAUUGGUCGGCCUGAGUGAAUGCCUUGUGCGUUAGCUCGGUCCAGCUGGCGAGCCUCUGCGGAUAGCCUUUGCUUUGUGGCAGCAGUUUCGGCUGUCUGCCCUUCGGGUACCAAUCAACAACUAACUCAGAACUGGCACGGACAAGGGGAAUCCGACUGUCUAAUUAAAACAAAGCAUUGCGAUGGUCAGAGAGUGAUGUUGACGCAAUGUGAUUUCUGCCCAGUGCUCUGAAUGUCAAAGUGAAGAGAUUCGACCAAGCGCGGGUAAACGGCGGGAGUAACUAUGACUCUCUUAAGGUAGCCAAAUGCCUCGUCAUCUAAUUAGUGACGCGCAUGAAUGGAUUAACGAGAUUCCCACUGUCCCUAUCUACUAUCUAGCGAAACCGCAGCCAAGGGAACGGACUUGGGAAGAUCAGCGGGGAAAGAAGACCCUGUUGAGUUUGACUCUAGUCUCAUUUUGUGGCGGAGCAUAUUGGGCGUAGAAUAGGGAGGAGCUUCGGCAACAGUGAAAUACUCCUACUAGUAUCGCUCCUCUGCUUACUCGGUGAGGUGAAGUUCGGGCUUCGGCUUGAUUUCUAGACUCAAGUAGAGGAAUUCAUUCCUUUACGAUUCACUCCGAGAACAUUGUGAGGCGGGGAGUUUGACUGGGGCGGUACAUCUUUCAAAUGAUAACGAAGGUGUCCUAAGGCCAGCUCAGUGAGGACAGAAACCUCACGUAGAGCAAAAGGGCAAAUGCUGGCUUGAGUUCUCCAUCCAGUACGUGGCGAACAGCAGAAAUGUCGGCCUAUCGAUCCUCUUUAUUUCGAAGUUUGAAGAAAGAGGUGUCAGAAAAAUUACCACAGGGAUAACUGGCUUGUGGCGGCCAAGCGUUCAUAGCGACGUCGCUUUUUGAUCCUUCGAUGUCGGCUCUUCCUAUCAUUGCGAAGCAGAAUUCGCCAAGCGUCGGAUUGUUCACCCGCCAAUAGGGAACGUGAG